AAAAUGUUUCAUUUUUAUUUUGGUAGCAUGGCAUUUGUUUGCAUUUUGAACAAGGGUCGUACAAAGUAUCUUUAUUUCAAACCACUUUCCAGGAAGUUAUUCGUUGCAAGUAUCGUUUGUUAUUUUAUUAAUUAUAAAUUAGUUAAAUCGAGAGUACAUUCCUUAUUGAAAGGUUCGGUAACCCAAAACAAGAGUCACAUGCUGUCUUUAGAUACAUAUUCAAAUUUUAUGUCUACUCGAAUUCCCUAAUUUCUGUCUAUUUACAUAAUCUUUAGAACCGUGGCUUGUAUGAAUGUGCUGAAGCUGAUUGUUAUUAUAAUAAUAAACAAGGCUUAGUAAUUUAGAUUUAAGGGAGUUCGCUUCUCAGUUUCAAAAUAAUUAGCUUUUUCAAACCCUAAUUGAUAGGGGGUUAAUAAAGAAAAUCAAAAUUGCCAAAAAAUAUAUAAGGGUCAAUGUGCUUGUUUUCGAGAUAUUAACCAUUGAAAUUUUGGCGGGAAAAUAUUCUCUCUUGACUUUUCAUAGCAAGUUGAAGUUCUUAAAAACUCUUAAACAAUAAUUAAAUUUUCAUAAGACUUUUACAGAUGGCUUAUCAUUAUACAUGUACAAGAUUUAUAAAAAGAAAUAUAGGGGUCAAUGAGCAGUUUUUUGUAAGGCAUUCAAAUGGAUAAACCAGAGGAUUCCGAAAAUCUGACAAAAAUCUCUUAACAUGACAGGCA
RNAcentral lists this long non-coding RNA (716 nucleotides) under Mytilus galloprovincialis (Mediterranean mussel). The record is from RNAcentral. Lineage: Eukaryota; Metazoa; Mollusca; Bivalvia; Mytilida; Mytilidae.